Molecule: ribosomal RNA, 2101 nt
Filed under: Candidatus Zixiibacteriota bacterium
Lineage: Bacteria; Pseudomonadati; Candidatus Zixiibacteriota
Description: bacterial LSU rRNA
Rfam family: Bacterial large subunit ribosomal RNA
Source: RNAcentral
GAUCAAGUUACUAAGGGCAUAUGGUGGAUGCCUUGGCACGAGAAGGCGAUGAAGGACGUGGUAAGCUGCGAUAAGCUUCGUCUAGGUGCAAACAACCUUUAAGACGGAGAUCUCCGAAUGGGGCAACCCAUCCCGGUUUAUACCGGGAUAUCGGCCGUUGAAUACAUAGGCGGUCGAAGCGAACGAAGGGAACUGAAACAUCUAAGUACCUUCAGGAAAAGAAAGUAAAAACGAUUCUCUUAGUAGCGGUGAGCGAAAAGGGAACAGCCCAAACCGAUUGGCGCGCUAAAGCCUGCUUGCGUUGCGCUGUCGGUGUAGUGGGAACCGAAUGCGGUCCGGUUGCAGACGGGCCGGGAAGUUACAAACUGUCUGUCUAGCUGAAUAAUCUGGAACGUUUAGCGAUACAGGGUGACAGCCCCGUAAGCGAAAGGCUGACAGCUUCCUGGUUCGGUCUCCCAAGUAGCACCGGUUAAGUGGAAUCCGGUGUGAAUCCGCCUGGACCAUCAGGCAAGGCUAAAUACUAACUCGUGACCGAUAGUGAACUAGUACCGUGAGGGAAAGGUGAAAAGGACCCCGGGAGGGGAGUUAAAAGAACCUGAAACCGUAUGCCUACAAGCGGUCGGAGGAAUGGAUUUUCUUCGGAAAAUCCGGACUGACGGCGUGCCUAUUGAAUAAUGAUCCGACGACUUACUUCUCUGUCGCAAGGAUAAGCCAAACACUGGUGAAUCCGUAGCGAAAGCGAGUCUGAAUAGGGCGACUCAGUGGCAGGGAGUAGACCCGAAACCAGGUGAUCUAUGCAUGGCCAGGAUGAACUCUCGGUAAAACGAGAUGGAGGUCCGAACACACCAGCGUUGAAGAGCUGGGUGAUGAGCUGUGCAUAGGGGUGAAAGGCCAAUCAAACCUGGAAAUAGCUGGUUCUCCUCGAAAUAGCUUUAGGGCUAGCCUCAGGCUAUAGUGUGAUGGAGGUAGAGCACUGAAUGGGUUAGGGGCCCCACAAGGUUACCAACCCCAAUCAAACUCCGAAUGCCAUUACAUGUUCCCUGGGAGUCAGGCAGUGGGGGAUAAGCUUCAUUGCCGAGAGGGAAACAACCCAGACCGCCAGCUAAGGUCCCCAAGUCGUGCUAAGUGAUAAAGGAAGUGAGAUCACUAAAACAGCUAGGAUGUUGGCUUAGAAGCAGCCAUCAUUUAAAGAAAGCGUAACAGCUCACUAGUCUAGUGCUCUUGCGCCGAAAAUGUACGGGACUAUGCACGGCACCGAAGCUGCGGAUCCCGAUUUAUCGGGAUGGUAGAGGAGCAUUCUGUGUUGGCUGAAGGUUUGUCGUGAGACAGGCUGGACGGCACAGAAGCGAUUAUGUCGGAACGAGUAGCGAUAAGGCGGGUGAGAAUCCCGCCCACCGAAAACCUAAGGUUUCCUGGGGAAGGUUCGUCCGCCCAGGGUUAGUCGGUUCCUAAGCCGAGGUCGAAAGGCGUAGGCGAUGGAAAACAGGUUAAAUAUUCCUGUACCGGCAGAGUCACGUUAUACCUAUGGGGUGACGCAGGAGUGACGAUCAGUCCCGUGAUGGCUUACGGGAUCUAAGCCUGUAGGUGGGAAGCGCAGGUAAAUCCACGCUUCUAACACCGAGAGGUGAUGGGGAUGGCUUCGGCCUGCAAACUGAUCUUAAUCAGACUGCCAAGAAAAACCUCUAUGGAAGUUACUCUGCCGACCGUACCGCAAUCCGCCACAGGUAGGUGAGGAGAAUAUCCUAAGGUGCGCGAGAUAACCCACGUUAAGGAACUCGGCAAAAUGACCCCGUAACUUCGGGAGAAGGGGUGCCGCCAUUAGGUGAACCCACUCGCUGGGCGAGCUGAAAGCGGUCGCAGAAAAGAGGCGCUGAUGACUGUUUACUAAAAACACAUGUCUCUGCUAAGUCUCAUAAGACGAUGUAUAGGGACUGAUACCUGCCCGGUGCUGGAAGGUUAAGAGGAGAGGUUAGUCACUUCGGUGGCGAAGCUUUGAAUCGAAGCCCCAGUAAACGGCGGCCGUAACUAUAACGGUCCUAAGGUAGCGAAAUUCCUUGUCGGGUAAGUUCCGACCUGCACGAAUGGUAUAACAAUUGGCGCA